Molecule: RNA transcript, 1459 nt
Organism: Vigna unguiculata (cowpea)
Lineage: Eukaryota; Viridiplantae; Streptophyta; Magnoliopsida; Fabales; Fabaceae
Gene name: glyoxylate/hydroxypyruvate reductase HPR3-like
Source: RefSeq, a predicted model, not a curated record
UGCAUAUUCAGUGGGUUUUGUCUUGGUUUUGGUUGUGGUGUAAGAUUAUCGUUUGAGCAUUUGGGUUUGAAAGCGAAGCAUCUUCAAUCCAGAGAGCUCCUUGAAUGGCAGAAGAAGCAUACAAUAGCAGCAGUGACAUGAAAGGUCUUCCCAAAGUGCUGGUUCUGGGUCCUCCAUUGUCCUUCUCAUCACUUCAACCUCUCUACUCUCACAAAUUCCAUUUUCUCAAACCUCACCUCUCAGAUCUCUCGCUUCAACACUUCCUUCAAAUCCACCACCCUCCCUCUAUUGCCGCUAUUCUCUGCUCCCCCAACUACUCCGUCACCGCUGAAGUCCUCCGCCUCCUCCCGUCGCUCCGCCUCCUCGUCACUACCAGCAUCGGAACAGAUCACAUCGACCUCCGUGAGUGUCGCCGCCGCGGAAUCCAGGUCACCAGCGCCGGAGCUAUUUUCUCGGAGGAUGUGGCAGAUAUGGCCGUGGCUCUGCUCAUCGACGGAAUGAGGAAAAUCUCGGCGGCAGAUCGGUGGUUAAGAACGCAGAAUCGCCACAAUACGCCCUGGCAUUUAUUCCCGUUAGGGUCCAAGUUAUCAGGGAAGCAAGUUGGGAUUGUUGGAUUGGGAAGGAUUGGCAUGGAAGUGGCGAAAAGGCUUGAGCCUUUUGGUUGCAUAAUCUCAUACAACUCUAAGCAUAAAAAAACUACAGUUUCAUAUCCUUUCUAUCCCACUGUUGUUGAGCUUGCAACUAAUUGCGGCGUUCUUGUGCUCUGUUGUGAACUAAAUGAGCAAACAAAACACAUAAUUAACAGGGAAGUGAUGUUGGCAUUAGGAAAAGGAGGAUUUAUUGUGAAUAUUGGAAGAGGGGGUCUUAUUGAUGAAAAGGAAUUGGUAAAGUGUUUGAUGGAAGGUGAAAUUGGAGGUGCUGGUUUGGAUGUGUUUGAGAACGAGCCUCGUGUUCCUCAAGAGCUCUUUGAAAUGAAUAAUGUGGUUUUGUCUCCACAUGCUGCUGCUAUUACUGAGGAAUCUUUCAUGAAUAUGUGUGAAGUUGCUGGAGGGAAUUUAGAGGCAUUUUUCUCAAAUAAGCCCCUAAUCUCUCCAGUUACGUUGCCUGAAUAACUUGUUCUUUUGACAACAUAAUAUCGUCCUGUAGAAUUUGAUUUCAUUCCUUCAAUGAUUCUUGAGUCGGAAAUGGCAUAGUUCUAUUUCCAGAACCAUACCAGUGAAGUGCCUUUCAUACUUUCUGCAUUAAAGGAAGGAGGUGAACAAAACUCUAUUUGGGUUUUUUAACAAUGGGGCAACCUUGCUCGUUAUUUAUAAAAAUGGGAUUGUUGACUAAUAUAUCACAUCACAGGGCAAGUCCACUUCUAAAUUAAAGUCACAGUGAAUGAGGACGAUUUCUUCAUUAAAUUCAAAAAAGGUGAAGUCGUCAUUUAUACAACUUCAAUUUUAUUUAUUUUGUUUUA